GAGGGUAUAACUCAGUGGUAGAAGAGAUGCUUAGCAUGCAUUAGGUCCUGAGUUCAAUCCCCAGUACCUCCU
RNAcentral lists this transfer RNA (72 nucleotides) under Camelus bactrianus (Bactrian camel). It matches the Rfam family "tRNA". From Rfam's summary of the family: Transfer RNA (tRNA) molecules are approximately 80 nucleotides in length. Their secondary structure includes four short double-helical elements and three loops (D, anti-codon, and T loops). Further hydrogen bonds mediate the characteristic L-shaped molecular structure. tRNAs have two regions of fundamental functional importance: the anti-codon, which is responsible for specific mRNA codon recognition, and the 3' end, to which the tRNAs corresponding amino acid is attached (by aminoacyl-tRNA synthetases). tRNAs cope with the degeneracy of the genetic code in two manners: having more than one tRNA (with a specific anti-codon) for a particular amino acid; and 'wobble' base-pairing, i.e. permitting non-standard base-pairing at the 3rd anti-codon position. The record is from Rfam by way of RNAcentral. RNAcentral also lists the same sequence under 2 other names. Lineage: Eukaryota; Metazoa; Chordata; Mammalia; Artiodactyla; Camelidae.